GCUCAGGGAUUAACGCUGGCGGCGUGCAUAACACAUGCAAGUCGAACGAUGAAACUUAAAAGAUUUCUUCGGAAUGAACUUAAGUGGAUUAGUGGCGAACGGGUGAGUAACGCGUGAGUAACCUGCCUUACACAAGGGGAUAGCCUCUGGAAACGGAGAAUAAUACCCUAUGAAACUAUCUUAUCGCAUGAAUAGAUAGUCAAAGUGUUUAGCGGUGUAAGAUGGACUUGCGUCUGAUUAGCUAGUUGGUGAGAUAACAGCCCACCAAGGCAACGAUCAGUAGCCGGCUUGAGAGAGUGUACGGCCACAUUGGGACUGAGACACGGCCCAGACUCCUACGGGAGGCAGCAGUGGGGAAUUUUGCACAAUGGGGGCAACCCUGAUGCAGCGACGCCGCGUGAUUUAGAAGGCCUUCGGGUUGUAAAAAUCUUUUGUAUAGGAAGAAAAUGACAGUACUAUACGAAUAAGGUCCGGCUAAUUACGUGCCAGCAGCCGCGGUAAUACGUAAGGACCGAGCGUUGUCCGGAAUCAUUGGGCGUAAAGGGUACGUAGGCGGUUAGAAAAGUUAGAAGUGAAAGGCUAUAGCUCAACUAUAGUAAGCUUUUAAAACUGUUUAACUUGAGAGAUGGAAGGGAAAGUGGAAUUCCUAGUGUAGCGGUGAAAUGCGCAGAUAUUAGGAGGAAUACCGGUGGCGAAGGCGACUUUCUGGCCAUUAUCUGACGCUGAGGUACGAAAGCGUGGGUAGCAAACAGGAUUAGAUACCCUGGUAGUCCACGCCGUAAACGAUGAGUGUUAGGUGUCUGGAGUAAAUCUGGGUGCCGCGGCUAACGCAAUAAACACUCCGCCUGGGGAGUACGCACGCAAGUGUG
Molecule: ribosomal RNA, 869 nt
Filed under: uncultured Clostridia bacterium
Lineage: Bacteria; Bacillati; Bacillota; Clostridia
Description: bacterial SSU rRNA
Rfam family: Bacterial small subunit ribosomal RNA
Source: RNAcentral